UUCUGGGGCUGCUGAAUUGGUUUUUUCCCUCCCCCUUUUAGACUCAUUUUCUACCAUCACCUUUAAGCAAAUACAAAAGCUGCCAAUGAGGAAAUAAUAACGCACUCUUAGGGAGCCAAAAAAUGGCUUGAAUUGAGUCAACUCUUAUCCAAGGUACCUGCUUUGAACUGCUCAGGUUCUGGCCUUUCACUCACAUCCACUGCCCUGGGCUCUCCAUCCACAAAUAGCAUAUCACUUUAAAUCCCCAGUUCUCUCCCCAUCACAGCCUCUCCACAGGAAUACUUGUGGGACUUAAUGUAAUGUUUGCAAUUAUUU
RNAcentral lists this long non-coding RNA (315 nucleotides) under Bos taurus (domestic cattle). RNAcentral describes it as "long non-coding RNA NONBTAT024767". Lineage: Eukaryota; Metazoa; Chordata; Mammalia; Artiodactyla; Bovidae. The record is from RNAcentral.